GAGUUUUGUCAAUAAACAAUGUUGCCAUGGUAAUCUCAAUAUAGGAGCUAUAGCUCAACAAAAUUAUUAUUAUGGAGUUUUCGAAAGUAUGAAAAUUAGUAGUGUUUGAAUUUGCAAGCAGGCAAUUUGUCAUACGAUCGGAACUAACAAUUGAUUUGGAGAAAGAAAAGCACAAUGUGUGACACAUACGUCUCUUGUUAUCUCCAUGACUGUUAUGCUUCGUGCUCGUCGUAUUAUUGUUGUUCUCAUAGUCAUGUCAAACUUUAUUGUCGCUGUUCCAGACAUCGUCAUUGCUACUGUUAUUGCUGGAGAAGGAAAUGUCUGUUGUAAAAUGAGGCACGACGCGUUAUGCAGUCGACAUGAAUGACUAUGGAAAUACAAACAACAACAACAAACACUCUCACACACACUAUAGCACGAAAUACUUUCACCAAAUUUAUGUUACUAGUUUAGUUGUUA
Long non-coding RNA from Musca domestica (house fly), 459 nucleotides. RefSeq lists it as uncharacterized. Lineage: Eukaryota; Metazoa; Arthropoda; Insecta; Diptera; Muscidae. The record is from RefSeq and is a predicted model, not a curated record. The transcript has 2 exons.